GCCGAAGCAGCCACAGACCCAGCACUCAGGUCCCUGUGUCCAGGAGGCAGAGGUUUUCAGAAGGAAGGUGUGGCUUUAAGUCCCAGAUGUCCCCACCUGUGAAUCUGAAACAUGGACAAGGAAACCUGAGUCUCCUCUGAAGAAGGCAAAGGAGAGACCCACCCAAACUGCUGCAGGAGCAAAUGUGAUAAGAGCGUUUGAGAAAGAAGGAGCACAUCACAGGCUGUGUUCUGCAAAGCUGGGCAUUUCCCCACCCUCCGCAGGGACCUGCCAGCUCCAGCCCAGCCCGCCUGUGCAUCCCAGCUCCUCCAUCGGACCUGAAGCAGUCGCUGCCCUCAGAAAUGCCGCUGGGUCCCAGGAUGACCAGAUGCCCUCUUGUCUGCCCAGUCUGGAGGAGGCGCUGCCCAGAGGAUACUAGGGUAGCGCUAAGGGCCUCUGGACCAUGCCGAGACCACACAGCAUGCAGGCUGGUGAGGUCGACCCACAUCAUUGAUCCAGAUGUUAUCAAAGCCAGCCACACCCUCCAAGAAAUAACACCGAUGAACAGAUUCGCACUUGGAGUGGGAGAGGCUGUCGGAGAGGAUUUCUCAGAAGACCGAUUAUGCCUUCGUUUUAUGAAAUGAUACUUUAUUUCUAGUUGGAUCAAGUAGCUAGCAGUUAUAAAGUAUUUAUAAAGCCUUAUUCUAAUCUCCUCAAGAC
Molecule: long non-coding RNA, 699 nt
Filed under: Chinchilla lanigera (long-tailed chinchilla)
Lineage: Eukaryota; Metazoa; Chordata; Mammalia; Rodentia; Chinchillidae
Description: lncRNA (ENSCLAG00000022665.1)
Source: RNAcentral